UUAUGUUCAUGUUCAUGAUCGUGAUCAUGGUUGUGAUCGUGGUCAUGAUUGUGGUCAUGUUCAUGAUCAUGGUCAUGGUCGUGAUCAUGAUGGUGA
This 96-nucleotide microRNA precursor is filed under the name Tetrahymena thermophila SB210. Its description in RNAcentral is "Tetrahymena thermophila microRNA mir-598". The record is from RNAcentral. Lineage: Eukaryota; Ciliophora; Oligohymenophorea; Hymenostomatida; Tetrahymenidae.